This 253-nucleotide ribosomal RNA is filed under the name uncultured bacterium. RNAcentral describes it as "partial 16S ribosomal RNA". It matches the Rfam family "Bacterial small subunit ribosomal RNA", at positions 524 to 776 of the family's 1533-position model. The record is from RNAcentral.
UACGUAGGGUGCAAGCGUUGUCCGGAAUUAUUGGGCGUAAAGAGCUCGUAGGCGGUCUGUCGCGUCUGCUGUGAAAACUCAGGGCUUAACCCUGAGCUUGCAGUGGGUACGGGCAGGCUAGAGUGCGGUAGGGGAGACUGGAAUUCCUGGUGUAGCGGUGAAAUGCGCAGAUAUCAGGAGGAACACCGGUGGCGAAGGCGGGUCUCUGGGACGGUACUGACGCUGAGACGCGAAAGCGUGGGGAGCGAACAGG